GUAGUACUCUCCGUCCGGAAAUACUUGUGAUUAAAUUGAACAAAAAGAAAUGGAUCUAGACGUAUUUUAGGUCGAGAUACAUCUUUUUUCAUCUAUUUUGAUGACAAGUAUUUGGACGGAGGAAGUACUAG
This is a non-coding RNA of Triticum aestivum (bread wheat), 131 nucleotides long. The record is from Rfam. Lineage: Eukaryota; Viridiplantae; Streptophyta; Magnoliopsida; Poales; Poaceae.